ACUGUCUCUGCAUCUGCUUGAGGAACAACCCUGGGACACAGACAGGACAAGGCACACACCUGAUGAGCCCACACAUCUGCAGGAGGAAGAACCGGAAGUCCUCCCAUGAGGGAGAUGCCAACAGUGCUCUUGGGAAAAACAGUUCCUCCCAGUGGAUGGAAGGUCUUCUGGAAAAGCCUGAGGCAAAGCGGGUAAUGCGGGAACAUCCUGCCCUGUUUGGUCUGCACGGACCUUCCAAUUUGCGCAAGGCAGCUAGGCAAUGAACAUCAAAAGCUUUCAAUUGUUUUAGCCCUGUACAGAUUCCUAAUAAAAUGUUCUUAUAAGCAAGGA
Long non-coding RNA from Nannospalax galili (Upper Galilee mountains blind mole rat), 330 nucleotides. RefSeq lists it as uncharacterized. The transcript has 2 exons. NCBI's taxonomy places the organism in Eukaryota, Metazoa, Chordata, Mammalia, Rodentia, Spalacidae. The record is from RefSeq and is a predicted model, not a curated record.